GAUAAACGCUGGCGGCGUGCAUAAAACAUGCAAGUCGAACGGGUGGUUUCGGCCACCAGUGGCGGACGGCUGAGUAACACGUAAGUGACCUACCCUUUAGUGGGGAAUAACUGCUCGAAAGAGUGGCUAAUACCGCAUGUACUCUUGUUUUCGAUAGUGAGAGCAAAGCCGAGAGGCGCUAGAGGAUGGGCUUGCGGCCGAUUAGCUAGUUGGUGGGGUAAAGGCCUACCAAGGCGAUGAUCGGUAGCUGGUCUGAGAGGAUGAUCAGCCAGACUGGGACUGCGAUACGGCCCAGACUCCUACGGGAGGCAG
Molecule: ribosomal RNA, 312 nt
Filed under: uncultured Chloroflexota bacterium
Lineage: Bacteria; Bacillati; Chloroflexota
Description: bacterial SSU rRNA
Rfam family: Bacterial small subunit ribosomal RNA
Source: RNAcentral